CGCCGUGUGCAGAGGACAAAUGAGACAGGUCUUGUCCACCUCCAUGGGAUUUUAUUCCAGUUAAAAAGGUGGUUCUACAGCUGCCGACCUAACAACAUUGACUAUCACAAGGAAUAUUCUUUUCCAAAAUACAGACACUAUCCAGUUCUCCACAAGAAACAUUCAGGGGCCCUA
Non-coding RNA from Myodes glareolus (Bank vole), 174 nucleotides. Lineage: Eukaryota; Metazoa; Chordata; Mammalia; Rodentia; Cricetidae. The record is from RefSeq and is a predicted model, not a curated record.